RNAcentral lists this ribosomal RNA (261 nucleotides) under uncultured bacterium. RNAcentral's name for it is "partial 16S ribosomal RNA". It matches the Rfam family "Bacterial small subunit ribosomal RNA", at positions 92 to 354 of the family's 1533-position model. The record is from RNAcentral.
CGACCGGCGCACGGGUGAGUAACACGUAUCCAACCUGCCGAUGACUCGGGGAUAGCCUUUCGAAAGAAAGAUUAAUACCCGAUGGCAUAGUUCUUCCGCAUGGUAGAACUAUUAAAGAAUUUCGGUCAUCGAUGGAGAUGCGUUCCAUUAGCUUGUUGGCGGGGUAACGGCCCACCAAGGCGACGAUCAGUAGCCGGCCUGAGAGGGUGGACGGCCACAUUGGGACUGAGACACGGCCCAAACUCCUACGGGAGGCAGCAG